This 1247-nucleotide long non-coding RNA is filed under the name Zea mays. RNAcentral describes it as "long non-coding RNA (ZMAY_LNC002812)". Lineage: Eukaryota; Viridiplantae; Streptophyta; Magnoliopsida; Poales; Poaceae. The record is from RNAcentral.
GGAAGCACAAGAAGAGGGGCCCGUGCCGGGCGACGAACCCUAUCGACAAGUGCUGGCGCUGCCGCAGAGACUGGGCGACGGACCGGCAGCGCCUGGCCCGUUGCGCCAGAGGCUUCGGGCACGCGACCACCGGCGGCCUCGGCGGCAAGAUCUACGUGGUGACCGACCCCACCGACCUCGACGUGGUGAACCCGCGCCCCGGCACGCUGCGCUGGGGCGUCAUCCAGCCCGGCCCGCUGUGGAUCAUCUUCGCGCGGUCCAUGAUCAUCCAGCUCUCGCAGGAGCUGCUCAUGAGCAGCGACAAGACCAUCGACGGGCGCGGCGCGCAGGUGCACAUCGCCAACGGCGCCGGGAUCACGGUGCAGCUGGCGCAAAACGUCAUCAUCCACAACCUGCACGUGCACGACGUCAAGCACACCAUGGGCGGCCUCAUGCGCGACUCCCCCACGCACAUCGGCUCCCGCACCAGGGCCGACGGCGACGGCAUCUCCCUCUUCUCCGCCACCAACGUCUGGAUCGACCACAUCUCCAUGUCCAACUGCGAGGACGGCCUCAUCGACGUCGUGCAGAGCUCCACGGGGAUCACCAUCUCCAACUGCCACUUCACCAACCACAACGACGUCAUGCUCUUCGGCGCCAGCGACUCCUGGCCGCAGGACCAGAUCAUGCAGAUCACCGUCGCCUUCAACCACUUCGGCAGGGGCCUGGUGCAGCGGAUGCCAAGGUGCCGCUGGGGCUUCUUCCACGUUGUCAACAACGACUACACGCACUGGCUCAUGUACGCCAUUGGCGGCGGCGACGCGCCAACCAUCAUCAGCCAGGGCAACCGCUACAUAGCACCACCAAACAUCGCCGCCAAAGUGGUAAAGAUCUUCUUCUCUUUCUUUCUUUCUUUCUGAUGAAGCCAUGCCAUGCCAUGCCAUCCCACCCCCUGCCGUUCGAGCAGAUCACCAAGCACUACGCGGAAGAAGGCGUGUGGAAGAACUGGGUGUGGCACACGGAGGACGACCUGUUCAUGAACGGCGCCAUCUUCAAUCCGUCCGGCGGCGCCCCCAAGCAGGUCGACACCAACGAGUGGGUCAAGCCCAAGCCAGGAACCUACGUUACAAGGCUCACCCGCUUCUCCGGCACACUGUCCUGCUGCACGGGCAAGCCGUGCUGAAGGCCGGCCGGUGGGCGUCAGAGGCUGCUUCUUCUAGCUCAUGGCCUGGCCAUGCCAGGUCGCGAUGGCUGCGUUUCAUUUCAUG